AUCUGCCCAUAAGUGGGGAAUAACAGUUGGAAACGACUGCUAAUACCGCAUACGCUACCGCAAGGUAGGAAAGGUGGCCUCUGAAUAUGCUGCCGCUUAUGGAUGAGCCCGCGUCUGAUUAGCUAGUUGGUGGGGUAAAGGCCUACCAAGGCGACGAUCAGUAGCCGGCCUGAGAGGGUGAACGGCCACACUGGGACUGAGACACGGCCCAGACUCCUACGGGAGGCAGCAGUGGGGAAUAUUGCGCAAUGGGGGAAACCCUGACGCAGCGACGCCGCGUGAGCGAUGAAGGCCUUAGGGUUGUAAAGCUCUGUUUUAGGGGACGAAUGUCUAGAUCAGUAAUAUGGGUUUAGAAUGACGGUACCCUAAGAGGAAGCCCCGGCUAACUACGUGCCAGCAGCCGCGGUAAGACGUAGGGGGCGAGCGUUGUCCGGAAUUACUGGGCGUAAAGAGCACGUAGGCGGGAAUUUAAGUCAGAUGUGAAAGACCGGGGCUCAACCCCGGGGUUGCAUUUGAAACUGGAUUUCUUGAGGGCAGGAGAGGAAAGCAGAAUUCCUGGUGUAGCGGUGAAAUGCGUAGAAAUCAGGAGGAAUACCAGUGGCGAAGGCGGCUUUCUGGACUGUCCCUGACGCUGAGGUGCGAAAGCGUGGGUAGCAAACAGGAUUAGAUACCCUGGUAGUCCACGCCGUAAACGAU
This 696-nucleotide ribosomal RNA is filed under the name uncultured bacterium. Its description in RNAcentral is "bacterial SSU rRNA". It matches the Rfam family "Bacterial small subunit ribosomal RNA", at positions 124 to 810 of the family's 1533-position model. The record is from RNAcentral.